Molecule: long non-coding RNA, 1825 nt
Filed under: Triticum aestivum (bread wheat)
Lineage: Eukaryota; Viridiplantae; Streptophyta; Magnoliopsida; Poales; Poaceae
Description: long non-coding RNA (TAES_LNC011664)
Source: RNAcentral
GUAAAUGUAUGUUAUACUAUAUCAAUGCCAUCAUCGUCCUUGAGAACAUUGGGAAGAACAAAAUACAUAUUUGAUCCUCUUAGAAGAAAUGAAAAAGAUUACAAAAUAUAUGUCCCAUGUAGUCAAGAACUGCAAAUUUUGAAUAAGCUUGUGCUUGUACUCAUCUUUCACUACUAUGUGAUGAGCCAUAAUAACUAACCAUCCUCCAUCACCUCUUGCAAAUCUCUGAACCUCCCAUCCUUGAUGCACUAAACUGACUUUCAACAUGACCAGUUUUGUCCAUCACCACCCCGCUUAGAUGAAAUGGAGACUGAAAAGAACACGAUAUAAGUACAUCAACCAAUCAGAUGUGGCUAUUGACAAUCCAUAAAUCGCGAGUCCUACUGGUGGUAUACAUGAAUAACCAAAUGCCAUUUACAAUUAUCCUGAAGGUGGCUAAAUAGAAGGGUUACUGGUGGUACUAAUUAUUCUGUUGUUAGUAGAAAAUCCUUUUGGAGAUCAUGGAUGACUAACACGAUGUUGCAAUCAAUAUAGGCUGGCGUAUAUGGAAAAUCAAAGGUAAAAAUGACUCGUUAAGUUAGGGAUACAUAAAAUAAUAUUGUAAAAGGUGAUAAAAAAUCCGCAGCAACUCGCGACCCCACGAACUCGUAUUCGUAGUGAGCAAGUUAGUGAGGCCGCCACGGUAGGCUAGCACCAAGGGACAAACCAAGGGACAAGGGCAACAACCGCCUUCCCAUCCAACCUACUGAUUCUGUUGGCGCUAGUUUCAUCCUAAGCCCAUCAGUACCGCUAGUGUGUUGGCACAUACAGAGAAACUAUGAAUUGAAAUUUUCAUCCAAAGCAUGAAAAAUGUUAAUGUUCCUCUCCUCUCCCAUCCCUCGUGUGAACAUACCCAAUUCGUGGUUGCCUCGCUACAUUCAGCGUACCUCUAAUGUGCAAUGUUGUCUCCUCCAACUCUUAACAAAUUCAUUGUAGCUCACAACUGGAUGGGCCUUGUGGGUUGAAGAAAAUCCAAACCUAAAUAGAAGCAACAAAAUGAGGACAACUUAUAAGAAAGGGAUAAGCGAGGAAGCACACACCUACAUGCCCAAACAAAAUAUAAGAUGCAACUACACUAUGAUUUACUCAUUAAAGAUAGUUAAAAAAGCACACCAAUCAGUUAAAAGAGGCAUCAUUCCCUGUUCAAGUCUUUAAUGUAAUUUAGGUUUGACAAUAAUAAUGCAAACCUUUACAUUGAAUUUAUGGUAUUGAGACAAAAUAUUAUGCACUAAUAACUGCUAAUUAUAUCCAUCUGUAUUGUAUUAUUAGCAUGCAAAAGCAAAAUCACUCGACUAUACGGAAGCCUCGAGUAACAUCCUCCGGGACUGGACCUUCAAAAAUGAUUACUAUACCAACAAACAUAAGCAUCAAACAGUAAGCUAUUUAGUAAUAGGAUUUUCAUACUAUACCGGUGUUGGGGGUGGGAGAGAAGUAGGGCUCCAGGAGGUAUCCUUUGUGGAGAAACCAUUGGAGUGUUGCCCCAGGUUGGCAUAAUUAGUACUUACACAACUCCUGAUAAAGCACACGAUAAUGUGUAAUCCAAUCCAAUUCAUUUCAUAAUGGGCGGUGGCUCUAUCAAACAAUAUCGUCCCCAUUCCAGGUGUGCCAUAGAGCAGAAGGCACAUGAAUGAGUAUAGUAGUUAGGAGGGCAUCUCAGGAUGGAGAUAACUGUAUCAUUGUAUCCGUGAGCUAACUGCAUAAUAUGGUACUUCAAAGCACAUUUUUCUUGAAACUUCCCUGGUGGCUUAAUACUAACACGAAGAAACGGUUACAGAUAAAGCAGAGG